CCGUCCGCGCCCGCCUCUCGGGGCGGCUCCUCAGGGCGGCCCGCCCCCGGUGUCCUCUGUCCCCGGCGUCCUGUGGCCUCGGUGUCCUCUGUCCCCGGUGUCCUGAGCCCCGAGUGUCCUAUGCCAUGUGCAUCCUUUAUCCCUGCUGUUCCAUGCCCCGAGUAUCCUGAGCCCUGGGUGUCCCCUUCCUUGUCUUCCCUGUGCCUGUCCCCUCUCAAUUUUAUCAUUAGAAUGUUAAAACGAAUUUGAUUUUUCCUUCUACACCUCAUCCCAUCCCUGGACUGCUUCGGUUUGCUAUUGUCAACCAUGUCACAACCUUCUAGAAAUUACUGUGUGUUGCUUUUCAGUGCCUUCAUUAAAAUGCAUCCCUGCCAGGGAGCUCUUUAUCUGUAUUAUACAUAUUAAUAAGGCUGGGUAGCAAUAAUUAAGGGAUGACUAACAUGUUCGUGAGUGAAAGUAUCCAGCAUGGGCUGGAAUUCAUAGGUAAAUAAGUUUUAUAUGUUAUUAAAAUUUGGGGAUGGCUGUUGCUCAUUUCAGUUCUUCCCUCUUUCCCUGGUGUAGCCAGAACUCUUCUCCCAACACUUUGAGAAACUUGUGAAGAGCUGAAGAGGAGACUGUGUCACUGUGCAGCAUUACAGAGAUCUUUUGCAUUUCCUGUGGGUUAUCAUGUGAAUUCUUGUGCUCUCUGUGGUGCAGGUGAUAAUGGAGAAGGAUGGAGUGGUGACAGAAAUCCAUGUAGAGCAGAAUACAUUAUUUGAAGAAGUCUGAGUUUCAGAGAGUUGGUGGCUGUGCUCAGCUUCCUGGAGGAGGAAUUGCAGAUGCAAACACUUGGAUGUGUGUUUGAAGUUUUCCAGUAGAUAGCAUCAGUGGUCACAGGCAGAAUUUGCUGUAUGUAACAGAAGGUUUUCGCUCAGGCUUAAAAGAGGAAUUUAAUUGCAUUCUCAUGAAAGUUAAAUGCUGUUUGCUCAGAUUAAAGGAGGAAGAAACACUCUUCACAUUUCAGCCCCCACACUUCUGAGUGCCUGUUUAUCCCGGAGAGAAGGCGUCAGCCACCAGUUUGUACCGGGAUAAAUAACAAAUCCUCUAAUUGAGAGCCAACGGAUCCUAAUUGACUUUAUGAUCAUCCUCCAGCUGGGCUCAGCCUUCCUCUCCUGUCAUGGCAUGGAGCAUCCUUUGUUUAAGGCACCCUGAGGGCCAGUCUGUCCUAAAUUGCACUGGUAAGAACUGAAAAGAACAGAAUUUUAUUCUGAGCAAGCAGGUAACUGGUGAUGACACCCAAACCAGAAGAAAAAUCACUUUCAUGGGCCAAGAGCUGUUGGUUUUACCUGCACAGGUCGCUGUUAUCUUCUGGUCUCAGCAGAAGAGCAGUGGUGUAAUUAACAGCUUCAUUAAUGCCAGAGUAAUAAUUAUGAACUGCAGGAAUGGCUGUUUCAUCAGGAAUUCUUCUUGUAGAACUGCAGCAGCUUUUUGAUUCUUCAGAAUUCAGGAGAAACAUAUAAAGGUAAAAGAAAUAGUGGAAAAUAUUAUUUAAACUGAAUCUACAAAUAUCAAUAUGCUUAGAAAGAAGAAAUGUUGUAGGUGGAUUACACACUGCCUGUACACAGAUUUCUAUUGUAACAGUGUUUAAAAUGAUUAAUUUUCAUUUAUUUCCUUGCUACAG
Molecule: long non-coding RNA, 1660 nt
Organism: Parus major (Great Tit)
Lineage: Eukaryota; Metazoa; Chordata; Aves; Passeriformes; Paridae
Exons: 4
Source: RefSeq, a predicted model, not a curated record